AGAGUUUGAUCCUGGCUCAGGAUGAACGCUGGCGGCGUGCCUAAUACAUGCAAGUCGAGCGAACAGACGAGGAGCUUGCUCCUUUGACGUUAGCGGCGGACGGGUGAGUAACACGUGGGUAACCUACCUAUAAGACUGGGAUAACUUCGGGAAACCGGAGCUAAUACCGGAUAAUAUUUCGAACCGCAUGGUUCGAUAGUGAAAGAUGGCUUUGCUAUCACUUAUAGAUGGACCUGCGCCGUAUUAGCUAGUUGGUAAGGUAACGGCUUACCAAGGCAACGAUACGUAGCCGACCUGAGAGGGUGAUCGGCCACACUGGAACUGAGACACGGUCCAGACUCCUACGGGAGGCAGCAGUAGGGAAUCUUCCGCAAUGGGCGAAAGCCUGACGGAGCAACGCCGCGUGAGUGAUGAAGGUCUUCGGAUCGUAAAACUCUGUUAUUAGGGAAGAACAAACGUGUAAGUAACUGUGCACGUCUUGACGGUACCUAAUCAGAAAGCCACGGCUAACUACGUGCCAGCAGCCGCGGUAAUACGUAGGUGGCAAGCGUUAUCCGGAAUUAUUGGGCGUAAAGCGCGCGUAGGCGGUUUUUUAAGUCUGAUGUGAAAGCCCACGGCUCAACCGUGGAGGGUCAUUGGAAACUGGAAAACUUGAGUGCAGAAGAGGAAAGUGGAAUUCCAUGUGUAGCGGUGAAAUGCGCAGAGAUAUGGAGGAACACCAGUGGCGAAGGCGACUUUCUGGUCUGUAACUGACGCUGAUGUGC
Molecule: ribosomal RNA, 764 nt
Filed under: Staphylococcus sp. pfB23
Lineage: Bacteria; Bacillati; Bacillota; Bacilli; Caryophanales; Staphylococcaceae
Description: bacterial SSU rRNA
Rfam family: Bacterial small subunit ribosomal RNA
Source: RNAcentral